Molecule: ribosomal RNA, 495 nt
Filed under: uncultured bacterium
Lineage: Bacteria
Description: partial 16S ribosomal RNA
Rfam family: Bacterial small subunit ribosomal RNA
Source: RNAcentral
GAUGAGCGCUGGCGGCGUGCUUAACACAUGCAAGUCGAACGAAGCACCUCUCCCGAAGAUUGACACAGCUUGCUGUAGAUUGAUUCAUUUGAGGUGACUGAGUGGCGGACGGGUGAGUAACGCGUGGGUAACCUGCCUCAUAGAGGGGGACAACAGUUGGAAACGACUGCUAAUACCGCAUAGUAAGAAGAAUUCGCAUGUUUUCUUCUUGAAAGAUUUAUCGCUAUGAGAUGGACCCGCGUCUGAUUAGCUAGUUGGUAAGGUAACGGCUUACCAAGGCGACGAUCAGUAGCCGGCUUGAGAGAGUGAACGGCCACAUUGGGACUGAGACACGGCCCAAACUCCUACGGGAGGCAGCAGUGGGGAAUAUUGCACAAUGGGGGAAACCCUGAUGCAGCGACGCCGCGUGAGUGAAGAAGUAUUUCGGUAUGUAAAGCUCUAUCAGCAGGGAAGAUAAUGACGGUACCUGACUAAGAAGCCCCGGCUAACUACGUG